RNAcentral lists this ribosomal RNA (263 nucleotides) under uncultured bacterium. RNAcentral describes it as "partial 16S ribosomal RNA". It matches the Rfam family "Bacterial small subunit ribosomal RNA", at positions 524 to 786 of the family's 1533-position model. The record is from RNAcentral.
UACGUAGGGAGCGAGCGUUAUCCGGAUUUACUGGGUGUAAAGGGUGCGUAGGCGGCAUGGUAAGUCAGAAGUGAAAUUUUGGGGCUCAACCCCAGAGCUGCUUCUGAAACUGCUGUGCUAGAGUGUGGGAGAGGAAAGUGGAAUUCCGAGUGUAGCGGUGAAAUGCGUAGAGAUUCGGAGGAACACCAGUAGCGAAGGCGGCUUUCUGGACCAUAACUGACGCUGAGGCACGAAAGCGUGGGGAGCAAACAGGAUUAGAUACC